Molecule: transfer RNA, 72 nt
Filed under: bacterium
Lineage: Bacteria
Description: tRNA-Arg
Rfam family: tRNA
About the family: Transfer RNA (tRNA) molecules are approximately 80 nucleotides in length.
Source: RNAcentral
GCCCUUAUAGCUCAAUGGACAGAGCGCAGCCCUCCGAAGGCUGAGAUCGAGGUUCGACUCCCCGUGGGGGCA